Molecule: ribosomal RNA, 466 nt
Filed under: uncultured bacterium
Lineage: Bacteria
Description: partial 16S ribosomal RNA
Rfam family: Bacterial small subunit ribosomal RNA
Source: RNAcentral
GAUGAACGCUGGCGGCGUGCUUAACACAUGCAAGUCGAACGAUGAAGCCCAGCUUGCUGGGUGGAUUAGUGGCGAACGGGUGAGUAACACGUGAGUAACCUGCCCUUAACUCUGGGAUAAGCCUGGGAAACUGGGUCUAAUACCGGAUAGGAGCGUCCACCGCAUGGUGGGUGUUGGAAAGAUUUAUCGGUUUUGGAUGGACUCGCGGCCUAUCAGCUUGUUGGUGAGGUAAUGGCUCACCAAGGCGACGACGGGUAGCCGGCCUGAGAGGGUGACCGGCCACACGGGGACUGAGACACGGCGCAGACUCCUACGGGAGGCAGCAGUGGGGAAUAUUGCACAAUGGGCGCAAGCCUGAUGCAGAGACGCCGCGUGAGGGAUGACGGCCUUCGGGUUGUAAACCUCUUUCAGUAGGGAAGAAGCGAAAGUGACGGUACCUGCAGAAGAAGCACCGGCUAACUACGUG